Molecule: long non-coding RNA, 2335 nt
Filed under: Homo sapiens (human)
Lineage: Eukaryota; Metazoa; Chordata; Mammalia; Primates; Hominidae
Description: HSALNT0258924
Source: RNAcentral
UCAGCCCCUACCUCAUCCUCGGUGUAGGCAAGGAUGCCAGCCAUGGGCCCCUUGGCUGCUGCUUUUACAGCCUCCUUGAUGGCUGAGUAGGGGGCAGGCUGGGCGAGGCGGCAGGUCAGGUCCACGACAGACACAUCCGGGGUUGGUACCCGGAACGCCAUCCCUGUCAGCUUCCUGGAGAAUCCCCCAUGAGGAACAGGAGUCAGAACUUAGGGACGUUGCCCUCCAUUCCCCCUUUCCCUGUGGCUGGGCCAGGCCCCUGCUUUCCUCUUAAGGACUGAGGGCCGGGCCAGUCCAGUCCUCCUGGCGUAUGCCCCCACCCUGGUUGCAGCUUCUUGUCCUCAUACCCUUUGAGCUCUGGGAUGACUUUGGUCACAGCUUUCGCAGCCCCAGUGGAGGCUGGGAUGAUGUUCUGGUGGGCACCCCGCCCAUCUCGCCAGGCCUUCCUUGAUGGCCCGUCCACUGUCUUCUGGGUGGCCGUGUAGGAAUGGACUGUGGUCUUGGGGAAGAGAAGGACCAAGAUGAGGCCUUCAUGCUCCUAAGCUCCCAUGCCUCUUUUUUCCAGGACUAAGUUGGUGGCCUAGGUGUGGAGGCUGGUGGGGCCACCACCACAGACCACAGGAGGGGAUGUGUGCAGGCCAGGGUCCAGCCUUGCCUGAGGGUUGCACAGUGUUUUAAGUGACUUCUGCACUGGUGGGCCUCUCCUCCCGAAACCAGUCUCUCCCUCUUAACUCCAUACAGUAAGCAAGGCCCGGGAAGAAGUUGGGUUUCCCUGCCAUCCUUCCUGCCCCAGCCCCUCAUCCUCAACUCACCAUCAACCCUUCCACGAUCCCAAAUCGCUCGUGGAUGACUUUGGCGAGGGGAGCCAAACAGUUGGUGGUGCAGGACGCGUUGCUGAAACAGCCAAGGUGUGCACGGACACUGUGAGGAUGUCACUGCCCACAUUACCUCACAAUGUUCAUGGAGCCAGGGUUAUAGUCAUUUUCAUUGACACCCAUGACGAACAUUGGUGCAUCCGGUGAGGGCGCGGAGAUGACCACACGUUGAGCACCUGCAGAGAUGUGGUCCUGGGGAGGAAGCGCAGGUGUCAGGGGCUUCUGGCACCAUCAUCCCCCCAGCUAGCCCUGGGCACCUCUCCCCAGCUUACCGAAGCUGCCUGUAUGGAGAGGUGGUGACCUCCCCAACUCAGCCCUCAACCUCCUCAGAGGCGCCAAUGCUGACUGCUGUCAGCCAGCCCAGACCCUUUCUCCAUAUGCUGCCCGGGACGUGGACUCUGUGACUGUGAGGCCUGCCCGGCUGCUUUCUGCUUCCCAGCUCUGACAACCUCGCCAUGAACCCUCCUAGACCCUCAGCUCCUGCAAUAGGAAGCUGGCUGCCAAAGGCCAGGAGGGUCCCUGAAAACAGACACUGCAUUAAAGAAAAAGCUCCUGGAGGACUCCUGAAGCCUGAGGCAGCCUUGGGGCAGCAGUGGCUCAUGGUUUACAUUGGAAAGGUUUAUCAUGAGUAACCGGGUGCUUUGCUUCUGUGAUUCUUGGCCAGUGUCGGUCUGUUUCCUUUGCCAUUGAGCCUGCUCCCCUCAAUGGGGGGUUCAAUCAAUGUUUGUGGGGUUUGUUUGUUUUGAGACAGGGUCUUCCUCUGUCGCCCAGGCUGGAGUGCAGUGGUGCAAUCAGAGCUCACUGCAGCCUUGAUCUUCCUGGCUCCGGCCAUCCUCCUGCCUUGGCCUCCCGAGUAGCUGGGACUACAGGCGCACACCACCAUGCCAAGCUAAUUUUUAAAUUUUUUUGUAGAGAUGGGGUCUCACUUUUGUUGCCCAGGGUGCUUUAGAACCCCUGGGCUCAAGUGAUCCUUGACCUCCCACAGUGCUGGGAUUACAGGUGUGAGCCACCGUGCCUGGCCUCAUGGGUUUUCUUUGUUUUGUUUUGUUUUGUUUUUGAGACAGAGUCUCACUCUGUCACUCAGGCUGGAGUGCAGUGGCACGAUUUUGGCUCACUGCAACCUCCACCUUCCGGGUUCAAGCGAUUCUCCUGCCUCCGCCUCCCGAGUAGUUGGGGUUACAGGCAUGCGCUACCACACCUGGCUAGUUUUUUAUUGUUGUUGUUUUUUGUAUUUUUAGUGGUGACGGGGUUUGCUCUGUUGGCCAGGCUGGUCUCAAACUCCUGACCUCAGGUGAUCCCCACUUCAGCCUCCCAAAGUGCUGGGAUGACAGGCAUGAGCCUCUGCACCUGGCCUCGUGUUUUUUUUUUAGUUAGCCAUUUUAUACGUGUUUACUGAACACCUGUCCUGUGCCCAUAUUCUAAGUGCCUUACCUGCAUUAAACUCAUGUAACCUUCACAAC